RNAcentral lists this ribosomal RNA (767 nucleotides) under Levilactobacillus brevis. RNAcentral's name for it is "bacterial SSU rRNA". It matches the Rfam family "Bacterial small subunit ribosomal RNA", at positions 412 to 1169 of the family's 1533-position model. Lineage: Bacteria; Bacillati; Bacillota; Bacilli; Lactobacillales; Lactobacillaceae. The record is from RNAcentral.
AGGGUUUCGGCUCGUAAAACUCUGUUGUUAAAGAAGAACACCUUUGAGAGUAACUGUUCAAGGGUUGACGGUAUUUAACCAGAAAGCCACGGCUAAUUACGUGCCAGCAGCCGCGGUAAUACGUAGGUGGCAAGCGUUGUCCGGAUUUAUUGGGCGUAAAGCGAGCGCAGGCGGUUUUUUAAGUUUGAUGUGAAAGCCUUCGGCUUAACCGGAGAAGUGCAUCGGAAACUGGGAGACUUGAGUGCAGAAGAGGACAGUGGAACUCCAUGUGUAGCGGUGGAAUGCGUAGAUAUAUGGAAGAACACCAGUGGCGAAGGCGGCUGUCUAGUCUGUAACUGACGCUGAGGCUCGAAAGCAUGGGUAGCGAACAGGAUUAGAUACCCUGGUAGUCCAUGCCGUAAACGAUGAGUGCUAAGUGUUGGAGGGUUUCCGCCCUUCAGUGCUGCAGCUAACGCAUUAAGCACUCCGCCUGGGGGAGUACGACCGCAAGGUUGAAACUCACAGGAAUUGACGGGGGCCCGCACAAGCGGUGGAGCAUGUGGUUUAAUUCGAAGCUACGCGAAGAACCUUACCAGGUCUUGACAUCUUCUGCCAAUCUUAGAGAUAAGACGUUCCCUUCGGGGACAGAAUGACGGGUGGUUGCAUGGUUGUCGUCAGCUCGUGUCGUGAGAUGUUGGGUUAAGUCCCGCAACGAGCGCAACCCUUAUUAUCAGUUGGCCAGCAUUCAGUUGGGCACUCUGGUGAGACUGCCGGUGACGACCCGGAGG